RNAcentral lists this ribosomal RNA (492 nucleotides) under uncultured bacterium. RNAcentral's name for it is "partial 16S ribosomal RNA". It matches the Rfam family "Bacterial small subunit ribosomal RNA", at positions 29 to 507 of the family's 1533-position model. The record is from RNAcentral.
AGUGAACGCUGGCGGUAGGCCUAACACAUGCAAGUCGAACGGCAGCACAGUAAGAGCUUGCUCUUACGGGUGGCGAGUGGCGGACGGGUGAGGAAUACAUCGGAAUCUACUUUUUCGUGGGGGAUAACGUAGGGAAACUUACGCUAAUACCGCAUACGACCUACGGGUGAAAGCAGGGGAUCUUCGGACCUUGCGCGAUUGAAUGAGCCGAUGUCGGAUUAGCUAGUUGGCGGGGUAAAGGCCCACCAAGGCGACGAUCCGUAGCUGGUCUGAGAGGAUGAUCAGCCACCCUGGAACUGAGACACGGUCCAGACUCCUACGGGAGGCAGCAGUGGGGAAUAUUGGACAAAGGGCGCAAGCCUGAUCCAGCCAUACCGCGUGGGUGAAGAAGGCCUUCGGGUUGUAAAGCCCUUUUGUUUGGAAAGAAAAGCAGCAGGUUAAUACCCCGCUGUUCUGACGGUACCCAAAGAAUAAGCACCGGCUAACUUCGUG